This 72-nucleotide transfer RNA is filed under the name Camelus bactrianus (Bactrian camel). It matches the Rfam family "tRNA". Rfam says of the family: Transfer RNA (tRNA) molecules are approximately 80 nucleotides in length. Their secondary structure includes four short double-helical elements and three loops (D, anti-codon, and T loops). Lineage: Eukaryota; Metazoa; Chordata; Mammalia; Artiodactyla; Camelidae. RNAcentral also lists the same sequence under 1 other name. The record is from Rfam by way of RNAcentral.
GAAGAUAUAGCUCAGUGGUAGAGUACAUGCCUAGCAUGCACAAGGUCCUGGGUUCAAUCCCCAGCAACACCA